CUUCCCUUUAAUUUUAAAAAUAAAUCAGCUACAUGAAAAAAAGAGAUGGUAGGUGCACAUAUAGUAAAAGAUAAUAGCAUCAAUGUGAAACAAGUUUUGAAUUCCCUAUCGUUAAUAUUUACUAGAAUUGCACAUUAUCCAAAAAUAUGCUGUAAUCGAAUUGAAAUUUAUAAUUCAUAUUUUCAUUACCUCGAGUCAUCAAGUUCAUCAAGAUUCUCUGCAAAAAUGGGUUCCUUUUUGUAGUUCUCCAAGAAAGCUUCCCUCUUCCUUAGCUUGUCAUAGAGUUUGCAGUUUUUCUCAAAAACCUAGAAAAAGGGGAUAUUGAGAGAACACCAGAAAGGCAUUAGAAUCAUGAGCUGUCCAUAUAAUUCCAGCUGUAGUCAUUUAUCAAAGUGUGCUUUGUUUACCUGGAUGCUAGCAGGUCCCCAAGGGUGGAUACCAUUACAUUUUUGGGCUGCAAGAAAUUUGAUAGAACAGGGAUUUAAGCAUCACCCAAAGCAACUAGGAAUCAUUAAACAUGUCUAUGUUUUUUUCACUGUGAAGAUGUUACCUGGAGUAAUCUGCGCAUCACGUCAAGAACUGUUGUUUUUCUGAUGCUGGCAACCUAUUGAAAAAUUAAAAAGGAUUCAUAUACUUUAAGUCUAAUAAAGAAAAUCUGGAUUUUAUCAUUAUAUACUGUCACUAACAUGCAUAUUUAUUACAGCAGAUUCUGUACACUGUAUGACUUGAUAUAGCAUGGCACAAGGCAAUGUAUAUUAUAAUAGAAUAGAACUGAUUUGAUGAAGUCUUUUACUAACCUUC
Molecule: long non-coding RNA, 801 nt
Organism: Actinia tenebrosa (Australian red waratah sea anemone)
Lineage: Eukaryota; Metazoa; Cnidaria; Anthozoa; Actiniaria; Actiniidae
Source: RefSeq, a predicted model, not a curated record